GGCACGAUCUAUGCGGAUUGGUAUAAGUCAUACGAUUCGAGUAAGCCAUGCAAAUAUCGUGGCAACGCACACUAAUCGCUCACUCGUAGUCAACCAAGCUGUCGUACAGUGACAACUUAGCUAAGGUGAGUGUAAGUCAAGCUAGAUGAUCGAUGCUGGCAUGCAUCCUCGUUUAAACCUCCGCAGCGCAAUGAGAGGAGUGCAGUUCAUCUCACUCAUUGUGCUGGGUAGCGCCCCCACACAUCUGACGGGAACGCGGGAUGUGAGUCCGAUACCCCAGAUAUGGAGUGAGACACAAUCCCCCAGCCCAUGGGGGGCGCCACAGGCGAAAACUCUUCAAAAUGCCCGAAAGGGACGGGAGAAUCCCAAGAGCGGCAGUUCUUAUGAUAGACGUUUUUUAACAACAGUAAGGAGCUUCCAGAAUAAGAGCUGGGCAAGAUUGGUGCCAGCCGCCGCGGUAACACCAGCGGCCCAAGUGGUGACCGCAAUUAUUGGGCCUAAAGCGUUCGUAGCCGGAUCAACAAAUCCCUGGUGAAAUCGCAAUGCUUAACGGUUGGGAGUGCAAGGAAGACUGUUGGUCUUGGGGCCGGGAGAGGUAAGAGGAACUCUUGGGGUAGGGGUGAAAUCCUAUAAUCCGAGGGGGACCACCAGUAGCGAAGGCGCCCGUCCAGAACGGGCCUGACAGUGAGGGGCGAAGCCUAAGGGAGUGAACGGGAUUAGAUACCCCGGUAAUCCUAGCCGUAAACCAUGCGGGCCAGGUGUCUAGGGUUCCUCGAGGGCGUUCAGUGCCGAAGGGAAACCGUUAAGCCAGCCACCUGGGAAGUACGGUCGCAAGGCUGAAACUUAAAGAAAUUGGCGGGGGGGCACCACAAAAGGUGGGACCUGCGGUUC
Molecule: ribosomal RNA, 891 nt
Filed under: uncultured archaeon
Lineage: Archaea
Description: bacterial SSU rRNA
Rfam family: Archaeal small subunit ribosomal RNA
Source: RNAcentral